RNAcentral lists this transfer RNA (73 nucleotides) under Marmota monax (woodchuck). It matches the Rfam family "tRNA". Rfam says of the family: Transfer RNA (tRNA) molecules are approximately 80 nucleotides in length. Their secondary structure includes four short double-helical elements and three loops (D, anti-codon, and T loops). Further hydrogen bonds mediate the characteristic L-shaped molecular structure. tRNAs have two regions of fundamental functional importance: the anti-codon, which is responsible for specific mRNA codon recognition, and the 3' end, to which the tRNAs corresponding amino acid is attached (by aminoacyl-tRNA synthetases). tRNAs cope with the degeneracy of the genetic code in two manners: having more than one tRNA (with a specific anti-codon) for a particular amino acid; and 'wobble' base-pairing, i.e. permitting non-standard base-pairing at the 3rd anti-codon position. The record is from Rfam by way of RNAcentral. Lineage: Eukaryota; Metazoa; Chordata; Mammalia; Rodentia; Sciuridae.
AGGGAUAUAGCUCAGUUGGUAGAGUGCUUGCCUCAAAUGCAUAAGGCCCUGGGUUCAAUCCCCAGUACCCCCC